RNAcentral lists this ribosomal RNA (715 nucleotides) under Enterococcus durans. Its description in RNAcentral is "bacterial SSU rRNA". It matches the Rfam family "Bacterial small subunit ribosomal RNA", at positions 119 to 819 of the family's 1533-position model. The record is from RNAcentral. Lineage: Bacteria; Bacillati; Bacillota; Bacilli; Lactobacillales; Enterococcaceae.
GGGUAACCUGCCCAUCAGAAGGGGAUAACACUUGGAAACAGGUGCUAAUACCGUAUAACAAUCGAAACCGCAUGGUUUUGAUUUGAAAGGCGCUUUCGGGUGUCGCUGAUGGAUGGACCCGCGGUGCAUUAGCUAGUUGGUGAGGUAACGGCUCACCAAGGCCACGAUGCAUAGCCGACCUGAGAGGGUGAUCGGCCACAUUGGGACUGAGACACGGCCCAAACUCCUACGGGAGGCAGCAGUAGGGAAUCUUCGGCAAUGGACGAAAGUCUGACCGAGCAACGCCGCGUGAGUGAAGAAGGUUUUCGGAUCGUAAAACUCUGUUGUUAGAGAAGAACAAGGAUGAGAGUAACUGUUCAUCCCUUGACGGUAUCUAACCAGAAAGCCACGGCUAACUACGUGCCAGCAGCCGCGGUAAUACGUAGGUGGCAAGCGUUGUCCGGAUUUAUUGGGCGUAAAGCGAGCGCAGGCGGUUUCUUAAGUCUGAUGUGAAAGCCCCCGGCUCAACCGGGGAGGGUCAUUGGAAACUGGGAGACUUGAGUGCAGAAGAGGAGAGUGGAAUUCCAUGUGUAGCGGUGAAAUGCGUAGAUAUAUGGAGGAACACCAGUGGCGAAAGGCGGCUCUCUGGUCUGUAACUGACGCUGAGGCUCGAAAGCGUGGGGAGCAAACAGGAUUAGAUACCCUGGUAGUCCACGCCGUAAACGAUGAGUGCUAA